Molecule: ribosomal RNA, 497 nt
Filed under: uncultured bacterium
Lineage: Bacteria
Description: partial 16S ribosomal RNA
Rfam family: Bacterial small subunit ribosomal RNA
Source: RNAcentral
GAUGAACGCUGGCGGCGUGCCUAAUACAUGCAAGUCGAGCGAACAGACGAGGAGCUUGCUCCUCUGACGUUAGCGGAGGACGGGUGAGUAACACGUGGAUACUCUACCUAUAAGACUGGGAUAACUUCGGGAAACCGGAGCUAAUACCGGAUAAUCUAUUGAACCGUAUGGUUCAAUAGUGAAAGUCGGUUUUGCUGUCACUUAUAGAUGGAUCCGCGCCGCAUUAGCUAGUUGGUAAGGUAACGGCUUACCAAGGCUACGAUGCGUAGCCGACCUGAGAGGGGGGUCGGCCACACGGGAAGUGAGACACGGUCCAGACUCCUACGGUAGGCAGCAGUAGGGAAUCUUCCGCAAUGGUCGAAAGCCUGACGGAGCAACGCCGCGUGAGUGAUGAAGGUCUUCGGAUCGUAAAACUCUGUUAUUAGGGAAGAACAAAUGUGUAAGUAACUAUGCACGUCUUGACGGUACCUAAUCAGAAAGCCACGGCUAACUACGUG